UCUCUGUUCUCUGAUCAGUUCCAUAUGGGCAGCCGAAUGUUAACUGAUGUAAUCAGCAAGAAGUUCAGGGUUGAGAAAGGAAGCAGAGAGAGUCUGAUGAAAGAUGCUACACAUGUGGAUGUAGUUCAGCUUUCUUGAAAAAGCAGGAAUAAAGUUUGCUCUCCAACCAAGCUGUCUAGUUGCUAUUGUAGCUGCUGCUGCUUUAUCUCUUCAGAACUGAUGAGAUUUCUCCAGUUGAUGGCACUGCUGUGGGUCCCUUCUGAGACAUUUGCCAUAUCCCUAUUUCUUCUAUAGACUCAACUGCCUCUG
Molecule: non-coding RNA, 309 nt
Organism: Thamnophis sirtalis
Lineage: Eukaryota; Metazoa; Chordata; Lepidosauria; Squamata; Natricidae
Source: RefSeq, a predicted model, not a curated record